Non-coding RNA from Struthio camelus australis, 2389 nucleotides. The record is from RefSeq and is a predicted model, not a curated record. Lineage: Eukaryota; Metazoa; Chordata; Aves; Struthioniformes; Struthionidae.
GGGACCAUGCUUGUCCUGCCUCGGCUCCGCUCCAGCCUGGGGAUCCCUUUGGGUGUUGCUGUUAAAGAGAGGCCAUGCUAACCUCUGCCUUUUGCCAGCCCAUCGCAGACAUAUCCCGUUUCCAACCUGUUCUGGAGGGUUUUGCCUGAUGGACUUCUUAAUUGCUCCUACCGACGGAGCCACCAUCACAUCCCUGCGAAGCCUUUUCUUCUGUGCCCUGAGGACCCAGAUUGUUUAAAUGUCAAAAAAAAGCCCAGGAAGCUGGAAUAUCUACUUUGAUCCCUAAAUCCAUUUUUGAGAAAUUAAGAGAAGCAAAGAACCAGGGUCUGAACUGUUGCCUGGAUGCUGAUAUGUUAAAAGUGAUCAACGACUUUGGAUUCAUUCAUUUUUACAGGGAGAAUUAUAAAAGGCAAGAGAAAAUCAUCACUGCUAAGGACAAGAUCAGCCCCUGACCUGCACUGAGAGGCACAGGGAUCCUGCAGGGACCACGCGGAGGACAGUCUGCUGAUAAACACCUGUGCAGACGUGGCCAAACCUGGAGGAUCAGGUUUGCUGACUCUUUGGGGAUCUGGAAGGCACACCUGAAUGGCAAUGAGAGCUCACAGUUCCCUCUGCAACUGGAAAAUAGCCACGACGUCCAGAUUGUGGUGAAUUCACAACCCUCCCCUAACAAGCACAAUUGCUCAACGUGAAACAGCCGGGCUAGCACCGAGAGCCCUUGCUCCGAGGCACCUCACCUGGGCCACUAGCAGCAAUUCAAUCUCUACCAGAUGCUCACAGGACUCUUCUCUGAACAGGACAAGUUUCUGGGAGAGGUUUGUGCAAUACUCUGAUGACAAAGAGCUGCGGAUCAGCUCUCAGGGUGCUGUAGGGGAGAGGGGGGUGCACAAUCCCAGCAAGGAUCUUGCAGGCGUUAUCAGUCAUCGCUGCCCUUCCCAGCAAGGCUGGCAGGUGCAGAGUGACUGCUUCUCUCAGAGGAGGGUGAAGGGACCUCGCGUCCCUGCCACGGGAGAGCUAUUUAGGGGCCUGGAACCGUCUGGGGCUGGCAGCUGGUGCCGAGGUGGGCGACAGCUGAGCGUGGCUUUCGCUUCAGAUCUGCAAGGCCCCUUUUCACACAUCUAUUUCUGACCCUAUAAAACACAAUCUGCCAGGGUGUGAGCAUGUGGGGGGCAUCCAGAAAAGAUGGUUGCACGGGUCUGGCUUGCCCAAGGCAGUAGACAGCUCAGCCUUUCUGUGUGUCCCUGCAGGUGCCUCUGAACUGUAGCUGGGAAGUCGCAGAGACACUGCCCUUUAACCUGUCUGCAGAGGAGAUCUGCACUGGUGGUAAUCUGAAUAACUGUAGCCUGCAUUAAUACCUGUAGCCCUGUCAGCAGCCAAACUAGCAAGGCGUGGUGUCCUGCACACCUCUUAUGCCGAUUCCCUGAGGCUUAAUUGAAGUGUCCAGUUAAAAAUAGCAAGAGCCUCAUGUAACCUGAGAUGAGCCCUAAAUACUUUUCCUCCCAGCUCUCUAGUUGCACUGUUAAGACACGGGGCUUUACUUGUCUUCCUUCCUCAGUCCUGCUACCUACAGCUAACACAGUAAUGAGGGACAGGGAGCCCAUUUCACACCAGGCUGUGACAAGAUGGUAGCACCAAAGGUUUCUUCCACAAGCUAGUCAUCACUAACUGCCAGGAAAUACCUGAUCUAAGGUUGAUCUAAGGUUUUUUCCACUGCAAAAUUCCCCCCAAAAUAUACAGAGGAGAAGUAGCCUUUUCACGUACAGUGAAAAUUUAGAAGUGGAGCUGCAGGCUACCAUGGAGACAGGGCUCUGUUUGCAAUCUUCUCAUCUUUUAUUGUCUCUCCUCCCCUCCUAAGCAGCUGAAAAGCAGCCAGGAGCCACUCUGUGCAAGGCCCUACCCUUUACUGCCUCCCAUCCUCUGGCUGGAUGAUGCUGCCCAGCCUGCCCACCCUCCCGGCUGGUAGGUAAGUGCUUGGGAGGUGCAGCUGGCUCCACUCUCUUUCUGCUGCCUGCUCCUUCAGCUCCUCUAGGCUUUUGGCACCUCCUUUGUAUAUCUGGGGUUCGGGAAGCAGAUCCAUGCUGCUUCUUUCUCAGCCCUGCCAGGCCUAGGGCCUCCAUCCAGUUCAUGUGCAACAUGAGUGCUUGCAGAGCCUGCGGCAAUUGCUGCUCUCUGCACCUACCUUCUGCUAUCUCUCUGGCUUUCCUCUCUUUGAUGAUGGGCAGUUCAGGAAGGAUAUUAGCAGCCAGAGGCUGAGAUGAUGCUGGUUCUCCUAGAACAUACUCUUAAAGGGAGAAUUUGCUGUAGUAGGAGUGGAGCCCAGCAUGGUGCAUGAGAUGGAGAGACAGGAAUGAAAGUGAAGAGGGAGAGAGCAGGUGGAAAGAAAGAAAGA